RNAcentral lists this ribosomal RNA (498 nucleotides) under uncultured bacterium. RNAcentral describes it as "partial 16S ribosomal RNA". It matches the Rfam family "Bacterial small subunit ribosomal RNA", at positions 27 to 507 of the family's 1533-position model. The record is from RNAcentral.
GGCUGAACGCUGCCGCCGUGCCUACUCCAUGCAAGUCGAGCGAACGGCCGAGAAGCUUGCUUCUCUGAUGUUAGCGGCGGACGGGUGAGUAACACGUGGAUAACCUACCUAUAAGACUGGGCUAACUUCGGGAAACCGUAGCUAAUACCGGAUAAUAUUUUGAACCGCAUGGUUCAAAAGUGAAAGACGGUCUUGCUGUCACUUAUAGAUGGAUCCGCGCUGCAUUAGCUAGUUGGUAAGGUAACGGCUUACCAAGGCACCGAUGCAUAGCCGACCUGAGAGGGUGAUCGGGCACACUGGAAGUGAGACACGGUCCAGACUCCUACGGGAGGCAGCAGUAGGGAAUCUUCCGCAAUGGGCGAAAGCCUGACGGAGCAACGCCGCGUGAGUGAUGAAGGUCUUCGGAUCGUAAAACUAUGUUAUUAGGGAAGAACAUAUGUGUAAGUAACUGUGCACAUCUUGACGGUACCUAAACAGAAAGCCACGGCUAACUACGUG